Betta splendens (Siamese fighting fish) is the source of this 1568-nucleotide long non-coding RNA. RefSeq lists it as uncharacterized. Lineage: Eukaryota; Metazoa; Chordata; Actinopteri; Anabantiformes; Osphronemidae. The record is from RefSeq and is a predicted model, not a curated record. The transcript is spliced from 3 exons.
CAGUAAACACAUCACGGCGCUUCUGUGACAGCGUGGCCUUUGCUCCUGCACCACCUUCAGGCUUUGCACCUCAUGCCCCACUCAUCCAGUCAACGGCAUCUCUUGCUUGUCACCUGUCCAACAAUGAUCAUAAAUAUAAACCAUAACUGGACAUGGCGACUGUACGCACAGAUUCAAGUGUCGGAUUAUUGCUCCUUUAUCCUCUUCCUUCAUAAGAAGAACACGGUUGUGCUGUAUGCUCUGAAAAUGUCAUUUAUUGUCUCAUUGUGUCUCCCCUGCUAGACUGACUCAAGAAGAAAGGCGAGCCUAAAUGGACAAUUUGAUGCUAAGGCUACUACAGUUUUUAGAAACCCAGAGAUAGUGUGACCGUAACACCAGAUGACGCUCUCUGUCUGUCCUCAGAGCACUGUCACUGGUCACAAUGAUCACCUUCUUCUAGAACAGCCUUGGAUGUCCGAUGUUCGUCAUUCCCAGACUAUAAUAAAGCUCCUUUUGUCUGAUGACUGUGGCUGACACAAAUAAGGAGGAUCUCAGUCAAAAGGAUCACAGAGACGGAGCAGGCUGUGAAGUGAACCAAACAAAACACAGUCUACUUUGGCAUUUCAAGCUCCAGAACAUCAAGGAAACACGUCUGUCUGACACCUACUCAGCAAAUCAGCCCAAAGAGCCGCUGGUUCUGGACACUGGAGGGCUGUCAUGAAGCACAGGUGCACUUCCGAGUUUUGAAGACACAAUUAAGCUCCCAUUACUCACCUAAAGAGGUGUGAACGUGUCCCACAGUAACCAGGCACGGAGGCUGCGUGGUUCGUUAUCACGCUUGUUGUACUGGAGCCACUGGUUGGUUCUGGCAUCUGAUCUGGAGGCUUCCUGGACACCUCCUGUGUCUAAGUUGGAGCAAGUCCUGCUGGGAUUACUCGUCCAUCUGGCCUGGGAAAGCCUCGUGAUUAUUCGCCACCAAAGGCUGGAGAACAUGACUGUGGAGGAGAGCGUUGGGUCUAACAAUUGCAAGGCUGCACAUCCUGUAAGGAAAUCGGGAUUGAACAGGUGCAUGUGGUUCAUACGUCCCAUCCAAACACAAGGAAAAUGGCAGAUCUAAAGAGCAAAGACUAAAACAAAGUGUGACAAUAUGCUGAAUGCGAAAAAAGGGAAGCGGUAACAUUUCAUCGCAAAUUGUAGUUUGUAGAAAAAUCCACUUUUAAUACCUUAAUUUAAGCAUCUGAGACAUCUUGGAAUUGAUGCCGUUCCCAAACACACCUGCCCAAGCUCACCUUUGUGUCCUGUGAAGGACACGUCUUUGUACACUGCUUCCUGCUAAAUGUCAAACACGCUGAUGUUAGUACACUACAAAAAAAUCAAUUUAAAAAAAGUCAUUUUCUGUCAAGGACUUCCAAAAGGUUAUUUUCCUAACAUUUGCAGAAUCAAGGUCUUGUUUUAAGGCCUUGACACUAAGCUCUAUAUCGCUACAACAACAAACCCUGCUCUGGAAAGUGUCUCCAUUGUGUGUUUACCUGAAUAUUACAUUGUUUUAGUCUUUGACGAAUGUCUAAAACCACAUUUCAAACUCAUCA